GACGAACGCUGGCGGCGUGCUUAACACAUGCAAGUCGAGCGGUAAGGCCCUUUCGGGGGUACACGAGCGGCGAACGGGUGAGUAACACGUGGGUGACCUGCCCUCAGCUCUGGGAUAAGCCUGGGAAACCGGGUCUAAUACUGGAUAUGACUCCAUGACGCAUGUUGUGGGGUGAAAGCCUUGUGCGGCUGAGGAUGGGCCCG
Molecule: ribosomal RNA, 203 nt
Filed under: uncultured bacterium
Lineage: Bacteria
Description: partial 16S ribosomal RNA
Rfam family: Bacterial small subunit ribosomal RNA
Source: RNAcentral